RNAcentral lists this ribosomal RNA (253 nucleotides) under uncultured bacterium. Its description in RNAcentral is "partial 16S ribosomal RNA". It matches the Rfam family "Bacterial small subunit ribosomal RNA", at positions 524 to 776 of the family's 1533-position model. The record is from RNAcentral.
UACGUAGGGUGCAAGCGUUAAUCGGAAUUACUGGGCGUAAAGCGUGCGCAGGCGGCUUUGCAAGACAGAUGUGAAAUCUCCGGGCUUAACUCGGAAAGGUCAACUGAUACUGUGCGACUAGAGUGCAGAAGGGGCAACUGGAAUUCUCGGUGUAGCGGUGAAAUGCGUAGAUAUCGAGAGGAACACCUGCGGCGAAGGCGGGUUGCUGGGCUGACACUGACGCUGAUGCGCGAAAGCCAGGGGAGCGAACGGG